UCCAGAGAACUUAGCAGAGAUGCUUUGGUGGCCUUCGGGAACUCUGAGACAGGUGCUGCAUGGCUGUCGUCAGCUCGUGUUGUGAAAUGUUGGGUUAAGUCCCGNAACGAGCGCAACCCUUAUCCUUUGUUGCCAGCGGUUCGGCCGGGAACUCAAAGGAGACUGCCGGUGAUAAACCGGAGGAAGGUGGGGAUGACGUCAAGUCAUCAUGGCCCUUACGGCCAGGGCUACACACGUGCUACAAUGGCGCAUACAAAGAGAAGCGACCUCGCGAGAGCAAGCGGACCUCAUAAAGUGCGUCGUAGUCCGGAUUGGAGUCUGCAACUCGACUCCAUGAAGUCGGAAUCGCUAGUAAUCGUAGAUCAGAAUGCUACGGUGAAUACGUUCCCGGGCCUUGUACACACCGCCCGUCACACCAUGGGAGUGGGUUGCAAAAGAAGUAGGUAGCUUAACCUUCGGGAGGGCGCUUACCACUUUGUGAUUCAUGACUGGGGUGAAGUCGUAACAAGGUAAGCGUAGCGAG
Molecule: ribosomal RNA, 523 nt
Filed under: uncultured bacterium
Lineage: Bacteria
Description: bacterial SSU rRNA
Rfam family: Bacterial small subunit ribosomal RNA
Source: RNAcentral